AAACCAGGUGCAGAGUUUGCCAAACAAGGUCCAUAAGCCACAAUCCGGAGUCAGAGUCCACAAAGCAAGGUUCAGUUGAAGGACUGUGAAGAAAAGAAAGUACAGUAAUGGAAAAUGUUUUAGGCCGUGACAAAAAAGAUAACUCAGUUAGGAAUUGCAUCAAGGGUAUAAAUAUGAGCAGACAUUCUCUCUCUUUCAAUCAACUGGGAGAAAGUGUCACCUAAUGGUAUUGCGUGCCAAAACAUACACCCUGUAAAACAAUCUUGUUUACACAAUAAAUGCCUAAGUAAUGGAGCUCGCUGCAAGAAGAUGUGGCCUUGGCUACUAGCCCAGAGCCUUAUUCAUCUAACACUUGUGUCCCGCUCUGAUGGCAGACACGAA
Molecule: long non-coding RNA, 381 nt
Organism: Pantherophis guttatus
Lineage: Eukaryota; Metazoa; Chordata; Lepidosauria; Squamata; Colubridae
Source: RefSeq, a predicted model, not a curated record